UACGUAGGGGGCAAGCGUUGUCCGGAUUUAUUGGGCGUAAAGCGCGUGUAGGCGGUCCGGUAAGUCCGUUGUGAAAGUCAAGGGCUCAACCCUUGAAUGCCGGCGGAUACUGUCGGGCUAGAGUCCGGAAGAGGUGAGUGGAAUUCCCGGUGUAGCGGUGGAAUGCGCAGAUAUCAGGAGGAACACCAACGGCGAAGGCAGCUCGCUAGGACGGUACUGACGCUGAGGCGCGAAAGCGUGGGGAGCGAACAGGAUUAGAUACCCCUGUAGU
RNAcentral lists this ribosomal RNA (271 nucleotides) under uncultured bacterium. RNAcentral's name for it is "partial 16S ribosomal RNA". It matches the Rfam family "Bacterial small subunit ribosomal RNA", at positions 524 to 794 of the family's 1533-position model. The record is from RNAcentral.